RNAcentral lists this ribosomal RNA (567 nucleotides) under uncultured bacterium. RNAcentral's name for it is "partial 16S ribosomal RNA". It matches the Rfam family "Bacterial small subunit ribosomal RNA", at positions 355 to 913 of the family's 1533-position model. The record is from RNAcentral.
UGGGGAAUAUUGGACAAUGGGCGCAAGCCUGAUCCAGCAAUGCCGCGUGUGUGAAGAAGGCCUUCGGGUUGUAAAGCACUUUUAUCAGGAGCGAAACGCUGUCGGCUAACACCCGGCGGAACUGACGGUACCUGAGGAAUAAGCACCGGCUAACUUCGUGCCAGCAGCCGCGGUAAUACGAAGGGUGCAAGCGUUAAUCGGAAUUACUGGGCGUAAAGCGUGCGUAGGCGGUUUCUUAAGUCUGCUGUGAAAUCCCCGGGCUCAACCUGGGAAUGGCAGUGGAUACUGGGAGGCUAGAGUGUGUCAGAGGGUGGUGGAAUUCCCGGUGUAGCGGUGAAAUGCGUAGAGAUCGGGAGGAACAUCAGUGGCGAAGGCGGCCACCUGGGACAACACUGACGCUGAGGCACGAAAGCGUGGGGAGCAAACAGGAUUAGAUACCCUGGUAGUCCACGCCCUAAACGAUGCGAACUGGAUGUUGGUCUCAACUCGGAGAUCAGUGUCGAAGCUAACGCGUUAAGUUCGCCGCCUGGGGAGUACGGUCGCAAGACUGAAACUCAAAUGAAUUGA